CAUUGAUCUCGUCCCCAUGAACCUGCCUCAUUCAGUGACCCGGGAUGUAAAAUUCAGAGCCUACUUCAUCCCCAAGCAGCUGUGCCAUGCGUGAGAUAUGAACAAGCCAGAACAUGGAGAGCAGAGGUGGUCAUGAAGUUCCACCCCUAGCUGAGGAGCUACUGCCAGUUCAUCUCUCUUUGUAUUUGGUCUAUGUGGUACUACUGUAAUAACAUCUCUGACAUCCGUGCUGCAUGAUGACAAAGAAUUUCCCAACCCAGACAAGUU
Psammomys obesus (fat sand rat) is the source of this 267-nucleotide long non-coding RNA. RefSeq lists it as uncharacterized. NCBI's taxonomy places the organism in Eukaryota, Metazoa, Chordata, Mammalia, Rodentia, Muridae. The transcript is spliced from 3 exons. The record is from RefSeq and is a predicted model, not a curated record.